This 1389-nucleotide ribosomal RNA is filed under the name Escherichia coli. Its description in RNAcentral is "bacterial SSU rRNA". It matches the Rfam family "Bacterial small subunit ribosomal RNA". The record is from RNAcentral. Lineage: Bacteria; Pseudomonadati; Pseudomonadota; Gammaproteobacteria; Enterobacterales; Enterobacteriaceae.
CUGUUUCGCUGACGAGUGGCGGACGGGUGAGUAAUGUCUGGGAAACUGCCUGAUGGAGGGGGAUAACUACUGGAAACGGUAGCUAAUACCGCAUAACGUCGCAAGACCAAAGAGGGGGACCUUCGGGCCUCUUGCCAUCGGAUGUGCCCAGAUGGGAUUAGCUUGUUGGUGGGGUAACGGCUCACCAAGGCGACGAUCCCUAGCUGGUCUGAGAGGAUGACCAGCCACACUGGAACUGAGACACGGUCCAGACUCCUACGGGAGGCAGCAGUGGGGAAUAUUGCACAAUGGGCGCAAGCCUGAUGCAGCCAUGCCGCGUGUAUGAAGAAGGCCUUCGGGUUGUAAAGUACUUUCAGCGGGGAGGAAGGGAGUAAAGUUAAUACCUUUGCUCAUUGACGUUACCCGCAAAAGAAGCACCGGCUAACUCCGUGCCAGCAGCCGCGGUAAUACGGAGGGUGCAAGCGUUAAUCGGAAUUACUGGGCGUAAAGCGCACGCAGGCGGUUUGUUAAGUCAGAUGUGAAAUCCCCGGGCUCAACCUGGGAACUGCAUCUGAUACUGGCAAGCUUGAGUCUCGUAGAGGGGGGUAGAAUUCCAGGUGUAGCGGUGAAAUGCGUAGAGAUCUGGAGGAAUACCGGUGGCGAAGGCGGCCCCCUGGACGAAGACUGACGCUCAGGUGCGAAAGCGUGGGGAGCAAACAGGAUUAUAUACCCUGGUAGUCCACGCCGUAAACGAUGUCGACUUGGAGGUUGUGCCCUUGAGGCGUGGCUUCCGGAGCUAACGCGUUAAGUCGACCGCCUGGGGAGUACGGCCGCAAGGUUAAAACUCAAAUGAAUUGACGGGGGCCCGCACAAGCGGUGGAGCAUGUGGUUUAAUUCGAUGCAACGCGAAGAACCUUACCUGGUCUUGACAUCCACGGAAGUUUUCAGAGAUGAGAAGGUGCCUUCGGGAACCGUGAGACAGGUGCUGCAUGGCUGUCGUCAGCUCGUGUUGUGAAAUGUUGGGUUAAGUCCCGCAACGAGCGCAACCCUUAUCCUUUGUUGCCAGCGGUCCGGCCGGGAACUCAAAGGAGACUGCCAGUGAUAAACUGGAGGAAGGUGGGGAUGACGUCAAGUCAUCAUGGCCCUUACGACCAGGGCUACACACGUGCUACAAUGGCGCAUACAAAGAGAAGCGACCUCGCGAGAGCAAGCGGACCUCAUAAAGUGCGUCGUAGUCCGGAUUGGAGUCUGCAACUCGACUCCAUGAAGUCGGAAUCGCUAGUAAUCGUGGAUCAGAAUGCCACGGUGAAUACGUUCCCGGGCCUUGUACACACCGCCCGUCACACCAUGGGAGUGGGUUGCAAAAGAAGUAGGUAGCUUAACCUUCGGGAGGGCGCUUACCACUUUGUG